ACUAGACCUAGCCCUAAACCCACAACAACAAUACUAUCACACAGCAAUAAAUCAAAACAUUUACCAAAUACUAACUAAAGUAUAGGAGAUAGAAAUUUUACUAAGGCGCUAUAGAAAUAGUACCGCAAGGGAAAGAUGAAAGACCCCCUGAUAGUAAGAAACAGCAAAGACUAAUACUUUUACCUUUUGCAUAAUGAAUUAACUAGACUAAUUUUGGCAAAGAGAACUUUAGUCAAAUAUCCCGAAACCAGACGAGCUACUUAUGGACAGUAAUUAGUACUAACUCAUCUAUGUCGCAAAAUAGUGAGAAGAUCUGUAAGUAGAGGUGAAAGACCAACCGAGCCUGGUGAUAGCUGGUUGCCCAGAACAGAAUUUUAGUUCAACUUAAAACUUAUCUCAAGAACCACUCCUUAAUCUUAAUAUAAGUUUUAAAUAUACUCAAUAGAGGUACAGCUCCAUUGAAACAGGUAUUAAACCUGCACAGGAGAGUAAGCCGUAUAAAACACUUACAUAGUUGGCCUAAAAGCAGCCAUCAAUAAAGAAAGCGUUAAAGCUCAACAACAAAACAAUGACAGAUACCAAAAACCACUGCCACCUCCCAACCUAAUACUGGGCCAAUCUAUAUAAAUAGAAGAGAUAAUGUUAGUAUAAGUAACAAGAAUAUUUUCUCCGUGCAUAAGUGUAUAUCAGACCGGAUAGACCACUGAUAGUUAACAAAUAGGCACCAAACUACCACCAAACAAUAACAAUGCCAUACACCUUGUUAAUCCAACACAGGCAUGCAUAACUAACGGAAAGAUUUAAAGGAAUAGAAGGAACUCGGCAAACACGAAUCCCGCCUGUUUACCAAAAACAUCACCUCUAGCAUUACAAUUAUUAGAGGCACCGCCUGCCCAGUGACACACGUUUAACGGCCGCGGUACCCUGACCGUGCAAAGGUAGCAUAAUCACUUGUUCUCUAAUUAAGGACCCGUAUGAAUGGCUAAACGAGGUUUCUACUGUCUCCUAUUCCCUAUCAGUAAAAUUGACCUUCCGUGAAGAGGCGGGAAUAAUCAUAUAAGACGAGAAGACCCUGUGGAGCUUAAAUUAACUAGAUCAGCAAUAUCAACAUAUCCAUCAACAGAUAUAAAACAGAAUGAUAUGAACUAUUAAUUUUGGUUGGGGUGACCUCGGAGCACAGCAAAACCUCCGAAUGACAGCGCCAAGACCAACCGGUCAAAGCCCAUAACGAAACCAAUUGAUCCAAAAAUUGACCAACGGAACCAGUUACCCCAGGGAUAACAGCGCAAUCCUAUUCCAGAGCCCAUAUCAACAAUAGGGUUUACGACCUCGAUGUUGGAUCAGGACACCCAAAUGGUGCAGCCGCUAUUAAAGGUUCGUUUGUUCAACGAUUAAAGUCCUACGUGAUCUGAGUUCAGACCGGAGCAAUCCAGGUCGGUUUCUAUCUAUAACCAAUUUCUCCCAGUACGAAAGGACAAGAGAAAUAAGGCCAACUUUACAAGAGGCGCCUUAAAUCAAAAUAGAUGAAAUAAUCUCAACCUAAAACAUUACAUAAACAUUAGUCCUAAGCCAGGACCU
Molecule: ribosomal RNA, 1578 nt
Filed under: Dasypus novemcinctus (nine-banded armadillo)
Lineage: Eukaryota; Metazoa; Chordata; Mammalia; Cingulata; Dasypodidae
Description: rRNA (ENSDNOG00000035638.1)
Rfam family: Bacterial large subunit ribosomal RNA
Source: RNAcentral